CCCUACGGGGGGCAGCAGUAGGGAAUCUUCCAUAAUGGGCGAAAGCCUGAUGGAGCAACGCCACGUGGGUGAAGAAGGUCUUCGGAUCGUAAAACCCUGUUGUUAGAGAAGAAAGUGCGUGAGAGUAACUGUUCACGUUUCGACGGUAUCUAACCAGAAAGCCACGGCUAACUACGUGCCAGCAGCCGCGGUAAUACGUAGGUGGCAAGCGUUAUCCGGAUUUAUUGGGCGUAAAGGGAACGCAGGCGGUCUUUUAAGUCUGAUGUGAAAGCCUUCGGCUUAACCGGAGUAGUGCAUUGGAAACU
Molecule: ribosomal RNA, 305 nt
Filed under: uncultured bacterium
Lineage: Bacteria
Description: bacterial SSU rRNA
Rfam family: Bacterial small subunit ribosomal RNA
Source: RNAcentral